This 455-nucleotide ribosomal RNA is filed under the name uncultured Pseudacidovorax sp. Its description in RNAcentral is "bacterial SSU rRNA". It matches the Rfam family "Bacterial small subunit ribosomal RNA", at positions 344 to 794 of the family's 1533-position model. Lineage: Bacteria; Pseudomonadati; Pseudomonadota; Betaproteobacteria; Burkholderiales; Comamonadaceae. The record is from RNAcentral.
GGGGGCGGCGGAAUUUUUGGACAAUGGGCGCAAGCCUGAUCCAGCCAUGCCGCGUGCAGGAUGAAGGCCUUCGGGUUGUAAACUGCUUUUGUACGGAACGAAAAGGUUUCUUUUAAUACAGGGAACUGAUGACGGUACCGUAAGAAUAAGCACCGGCUAACUACGUGCCAGCAGCCGCGGCAAUACGUAGGGUGCGAGCGUUAAUCGGAAUUACUGGGCGUAAAGCGUGCGCAGGCGGUGAUGUAAGACAGAGGUGAAAUCCCCGGGCUCAACCUGGGAACUGCCUUUGUGACUGCAUCGCUGGAGUGCGGCAGAGGGGGAUGGAAUUCCGCGUGUAGCAGUGAAAUGCGUAGAUAUGCGGAGGAACACCGAUGGCGAAGGCAAUCCCCUGGGCCUGCACUGACGCUCAUGCACGAAAGCGUGGGGAGCAAACAGGAUUAGAUACCCCUGGUAGA